UAGCCCCGUGGCCUCCUUGCUCUGGAGCUCAGAGUCUUGCCUGGGACCCAUUCCCGUUUCUGGUAGCGCCUGCUCCCUGGUCGACCCUGCUGGUAGUGCAACCUGAGAAAGGGUGGAGAUGGGAGCUAGCUAUGGGCUAAGGGGGCUGUUGCUCAUGGGCUUUGGCUCUCUGCCUUCCAGGGACAUGAGAUCAAUUAUGAGAAAAGGAGUGAGGUGAGCAGCUGUGGCCUCCCCGUGCGGAAGGUGGGGCUGUGGCAAUCAGAGACUCCUCCGGGGAAGACCUUCUCUGGCCCGAUGCCUUGGGCCUUGCUUUUCUUGGGAGAGUUCGGCACCCAGAGCUGGGAAAGCCGUCCCAUUGGUGCGUGGGGGAAGGGGCUGGCAUCAAGGACACCUUCCUGCAGGAGGAGCUAUUUCAAGCCAACUGUGAGAACGAGCAAGUCCUGCACGGAAUUGGAGGGAAGGAGGGUUCCCAUGUGAGCCAAGACCCCAGACCAGCUCCUUGACCCUCUUCUCACCUGUCUGAGUCCCCAGCACGGUCCCCCACCCAGGCCCUGUCUGCAUCAUGUCCUUUCUCCCAGGAAUUCAAAGUCACCCAGCAGAUCUUCCUGCUCCAGGAGGCAGUCGAUCUUUACCACAUUGAGGCUGAGGAGCGAUUUGGGGCCUGGUUCCAGGCCAUGGAGCUCCUCAGCGAGGAUGAGAGCUACAGCCUGUCCUGCCACCUGGAGCCCCCACAGGAGAAGGCAGGCAAGAUGUGCCGGUAUUUUCUGCCCAAGAAGAACCGCGCAUCUCUCAGCUCAGGGCUCGUCACCAGACCCCUGACGCAGAACCCAGCAACAGUGGCAGAUCCCGGUCCUUCCAACAGCUCGAGUGCAGCCUGCUCUUCAGCGGCGGGGACACAGCUGGGAAACACGCGGGGCCCCAGGCCGGCUCCUCCCAUGCUGAUGGGGAGAAGAACAUUCUAAGCCUUUUCCUGGGACCCCUGGAGCCCAAGAGGGAGGGGACGACCCCACCCCACAUGCCUGGCAUCUCCACCCCAGCGCCUGUUUACCACUUGGGAAGGGGCCGUAUUUCUUUGGUGUUAAUAGUUAGUGCUAGUUUUGAAUUUGAUGUUAAAAUCCUGUUUCUGUUCCAGCCUGCGAGUCAUGGUCUGGUUCUUGCCCCUCCUGUGCUCGUGUCAAGGAGACACAGACUCUCGCGUUCCUCCUGGAAUGAAGAAAUCUUGCAGGGUCUCGGCUUAUUGUAUGUGAGAGAAGGGAGAAGGGCCAGGCCCCUCCCUGGAUACUGAAGGACACCUCCAUGCCCCCCUUACUCAGAGGACGGGUUCAUUUCAGUGUGGUUCACGUGGGCCAGGAGCAGAGACAGCACCCAGAACUCCUGGCAUUUAGAGGGUGGAGGUACUUUCACAGGAAGAGCAACAACCACUGGAAUGCGGGUUCUCUAAAAUGGCACCGGCCAGCACCACUCCCUGCCCCAGGACAGUGGCUGCUUUUCCACCCCUCUGGAGGAGAGGCCACAUUUUCGGCUUCUCUUGUGGAGGUUCCUCUUCACCAGAUGUUAGGAACUUGUUGUUUUCUAAUCAGGCUCUGGACAGCAGCAGCUCUAAGUGCAGAGAACGAUGUAAAAGCUCAAAACGUGCAUGUGGAGGGUCAAGGCCGGAGAAGGUCAUGUGCAGAUGGACUAAGGGCAGGCAGGACCCUCCCUCCCCCGGCCCCUCUGGGGGCUCCAUGUUCACCCUUCACCUGGAUU
Molecule: RNA transcript, 1746 nt
Organism: Equus quagga
Lineage: Eukaryota; Metazoa; Chordata; Mammalia; Perissodactyla; Equidae
Exons: 3
Source: RefSeq, a predicted model, not a curated record